GCUGGUUAGCGCAGUUGGUAGAGCGCUCCACCUGUAAUGCAGAGGUCCAGGGUUCAAUACCCAGACCAGGCG
Molecule: transfer RNA, 72 nt
Filed under: Ixodes scapularis (black-legged tick)
Lineage: Eukaryota; Metazoa; Arthropoda; Arachnida; Ixodida; Ixodidae
Rfam family: tRNA
About the family: Transfer RNA (tRNA) molecules are approximately 80 nucleotides in length. Their secondary structure includes four short double-helical elements and three loops (D, anti-codon, and T loops). Further hydrogen bonds mediate the characteristic L-shaped molecular structure. tRNAs have two regions of fundamental functional importance: the anti-codon, which is responsible for specific mRNA codon recognition, and the 3' end, to which the tRNAs corresponding amino acid is attached (by aminoacyl-tRNA synthetases). tRNAs cope with the degeneracy of the genetic code in two manners: having more than one tRNA (with a specific anti-codon) for a particular amino acid; and 'wobble' base-pairing, i.e. permitting non-standard base-pairing at the 3rd anti-codon position.
Source: Rfam by way of RNAcentral